Molecule: ribosomal RNA, 429 nt
Filed under: Triticum aestivum (bread wheat)
Lineage: Eukaryota; Viridiplantae; Streptophyta; Magnoliopsida; Poales; Poaceae
Description: partial small subunit ribosomal RNA
Source: RNAcentral
AUGCUUAAGAUUGACCUUGCCAAAGCUUUUGAUCGUUUAGAAUGGAAUUUCAUUGUUUCUGCUCUAGCUUGUAAAGGGCUGCAUGGUCAUUUUGUUAAUUUGGUUCAUGCAUGCAUCUCAUCUCCCUCAUUCUCUGUUCUCAUUAAUGGCCAGCCCUCUCCUAAAUUUAAGAGCUUCAGAGGAAUACGACAAGGCUGUCCCAUGUCUCCUUACUUGUCUGUUCUUGCAAUUAAUGAACUUUCCAUCUUGCUUAACGAAGCUUUGCAGGCUAACCAAUUGGAGGGAAUUUCUCUUGGACCAAACUGCCCCUCUGUCCAUUCUCUUCUAUUUGCAGAUGAUCUUCUGGUGUAUGGGCACGCUACUUAUCAGGAGGCUCAGACGAUGGCCAGUAUUUCAACACUUUUAUGCUCUUUCUGGUCAAACUCCUAA